AUUGAACGCUGGCGGCAUGCUUUACACAUGCAAGUCGAACGGGGUUGGGAGCUUGCUUCCAAUCUAGUGGCGAACGGGUGAGUAAUACAUCGGAACGUACCGUGUAGUGGGGGAUAACGUAGCGAAAGUUACGCUAAUACCGCAUACGAUCCACGGAUGAAAGCAGGGGACCUUCGGGCCUUGUGCUAUACGAGCGGCCGAUGUCUGAUUAGCUAGUUGGUGAGGUAAAGGCUCACCAAGGCGACGAUCAGUAGCGGGUCUGAGAGGAUGAUCCGCCACACUGGGACUGAGACACGGCCCAGACUCCUACGGGAGGCAGCAGUGGGGAAUUUUGGACAAUGGGCGCAAGCCUGAUCCAGCCAUGCCGCGUGUCUGAAGAAGGCCUC
This 386-nucleotide ribosomal RNA is filed under the name uncultured bacterium. Its description in RNAcentral is "bacterial SSU rRNA". It matches the Rfam family "Bacterial small subunit ribosomal RNA", at positions 30 to 418 of the family's 1533-position model. The record is from RNAcentral.